RNAcentral lists this ribosomal RNA (1372 nucleotides) under uncultured bacterium. Its description in RNAcentral is "bacterial SSU rRNA". It matches the Rfam family "Bacterial small subunit ribosomal RNA", at positions 28 to 1381 of the family's 1533-position model. The record is from RNAcentral.
GAUGAACGCUGGCGGCGUGCCUAAUACAUGCAAGUCGAGCGAACGGACGAGAAGCUUGCUUCUCUGAUGUUAGCGGCGGACGGGUGAGUAACACGUGGAUAACCUACCUAUAAGACUGGGAUAACUUCGGGAAACCGGAGCUAAUACCGGAUAAUAUUUUGAACCGCAUGGUUCAAAAGUGAAAGACGGUCUUGCUGUCACUUAUAGAUGGAUCCGCGCUGCAUUAGCUAGUUGGUAAGGUAACGGCUUACCAAGGCAACGAUGCAUAGCCGACCUGAGAGGGUGAUCGGCCACACUGGAACUGAGACACGGUCCAGACUCCUACGGGAGGCAGCAGUAGGGAAUCUUCCGCAAUGGGCGAAAGCCUGACGGAGCAACGCCGCGUGAGUGAUGAAGGUCUUCGGAUCGUAAAACUCUGUUAUUAGGGAAGAACAUAUGUGUAAGUAACUGUGCACAUCUUGACGGUACCUAAUCAGAAAGCCACGGCUAACUACGUGCCAGCAGCCGCGGUAAUACGUAGGUGGCAAGCGUUAUCCGGAAUUAUUGGGCGUAAAGCGCGCGUAGGCGGUUUUUUAAGUCUGAUGUGAAAGCCCACGGCUCAACCGUGGAGGGUCAUUGGAAACUGGAAAACUUGAGUGCAGAAGAGAAAAGUGGAAUUCCAUGUGUAGCGGUGAAAUGCGCAGAGAUAUGGAGGAACACCAGUGGCGAAGGCGACUUUCUGGUCUGUAACUGACGCUGAUGUGCGAAAGCGUGGGGAUCAAACAGGAUUAGAUACCCUGGUAGUCCACGCCGUAAACGAUGAGUGCUAAGUGUUAGGGGGUUUCCGCCCCUUAGUGCUGCAGCUAACGCAUUAAGCACUCCGCCUGGGGAGUACGACCGCAAGGUUGAAACUCAAAGGAAUUGACGGGGACCCGCACAAGCGGUGGAGCAUGUGGUUUAAUUCGAAGCAACGCGAAGAACCUUACCAAAUCUUGACAUCCUUUGACAACUCUAGAGAUAGAGCUUUCCCCUUCGGGGGACAAAGUGACAGGUGGUGCAUGGUUGUCGUCAGCUCGUGUCGUGAGAUGUUGGGUUAAGUCCCGCAACGAGCGCAACCCUUAAGCUUAGUUGCCAUCAUUAAGUUGGGCACUCUAAGUUGACUGCCGGUGACAAACCGGAGGAAGGUGGGGAUGACGUCAAAUCAUCAUGCCCCUUAUGAUUUGGGCUACACACGUGCUACAAUGGACAAUACAAAGGGCAGCGAAACCGCGAGGUCAAGCAAAUCCCAUAAAGUUGUUCUCAGUUCGGAUUGUAGUCUGCAACUCGACUACAUGAAGCUGGAAUCGCUAGUAAUCGUAGAUCAGCAUGCUACGGUGAAUACGUUCCCGGGUCU